Molecule: ribosomal RNA, 404 nt
Filed under: uncultured bacterium
Lineage: Bacteria
Description: bacterial SSU rRNA
Rfam family: Bacterial small subunit ribosomal RNA
Source: RNAcentral
UGGGGGAUAUUGCACAAUGGGGGAAACCCUGAUGCAGCAACGCCGCGUGAGGGAAGAAGGUUUUCGGAUUGUAAACCUCUGUCCUUAGUGAAGAUAAUGACGGUAGCUAAGGAGGAAGCUCCGGCUAACUACGUGCCAGCAGCCGCGGUAAUACGUAGGGAGCGAGCGUUGUCCGGAAUUACUGGGUGUAAAGGGUGCGUAGGCGGCAGAACAAGUCAGAUGUGAAAUACAUAGGCUUAACCUAUGAACUGCAUUUGAAACUGUACUGCUUGAGUGAAGUAGAGGCAGGCGGAAUUCCCUGUGUAGCGGUGAAAUGCGUAGAGAUAGGGAGGAACACCAGUGGCGAAGGCGGCCUGCUGGGCUUAAACUGACGCUGAGGCACGAAAGCAUGGGUAGCAAACAGG